RNAcentral lists this ribosomal RNA (275 nucleotides) under uncultured bacterium. Its description in RNAcentral is "partial 16S ribosomal RNA". It matches the Rfam family "Bacterial small subunit ribosomal RNA", at positions 82 to 354 of the family's 1533-position model. The record is from RNAcentral.
CCGUUGCCGGCGACCGGCGCACGGGUGAGUAACACGUAUGCAACCUGCCCGUGGCAGGGGGAUAAGCGGGGGAAACCCCGUCUAAUACCGCGUAACGCGGCCUUGGGGCAUCCCAAGGCCGCCAAAGGGAGCAAUCCCGGCACGGAUGGGCAUGCGGCGCAUUAGCUAGUCGGCGGGGUAACGGCCCACCGAGGCGACGAUGCGUAGGGGUUCUGAGAGGAAGGCCCCCCACACUGGUACUGAGACACGGACCAGACUCCUACGGGAGGCAGCAG